AGAAGUGGAGUUGAUCUGGCUGCAAAUGUCACCCAUGGUCUGACAGUGUUGAUCCAGCUACUCUGGCUGCUUGGUGGGUAUCUUCUUUCUCCCCCAUUGCUCCAUGAGCCUCACUGCUGAAGUUUCAUUCUUGGUUGAAGAGGAUGACCUUUUCCAGUAGUAGAAGGCCAUUCUCUUUCUAGGGUCUCUCUCCUGCCAGAACUUCCAAACUCAUUCUCCAGAGCUAGCUGGGGUAUGGCAAAGCCAGGAGCACUGGUAACGUACAUAUCCAGAAAAAUGUUGGAGGCUAGGUUCCUGAAUUCCCAGGGUUAAGAAGUAUCCUCGCAUUACUCU
Molecule: unclassified non-coding RNA, 333 nt
Organism: Mesocricetus auratus (golden hamster)
Lineage: Eukaryota; Metazoa; Chordata; Mammalia; Rodentia; Cricetidae
Gene: 7SK
Rfam family: 7SK RNA
About the family: 7SK was discovered as an abundant small nuclear RNA in the mid-70s but a possible function has only recently been suggested. Two independent studies have found that 7SK RNA binds the CDK9/cyclin T complex (known as elongation factor P-TEFb).
Source: Ensembl